UGAGGAAAACGCUGGCUCCCUGGUCUCUCCCCUGCUGAACUUCACAGGCUGGAAAAAAGAGGAGGGGGGCACAUUAGCAACGCAAUAUGUCUCUGGAUCAAGAUAUAGACUUCAUCACCGGCCUACUAGAAAUGUACCAUUGCCAUGAAUGUCUGUGGAAGAUCAAAGCCAAGGGGUAUUUCGGAUAAAGUCCGGCGGAAUGCGGCUUUGGAGGAGCUAGUGGCAUACAGCAGGUACUUUGUGUCCGGUGCUGACAAGGACUGGGUAAAGAAAAAGAUACAGAACCUGCGUAGGGUGUUCCUCAAAGAACACAAAAAAUGGAACAGUCCAAAAGAUCUGGAGUAGGUACCUCCCAGGUUUACAAGACCUCGCUCUGGUACUACCCCAUGCUGGAGUUUGUCCUGGACCAGUAGCCUACCCGGACAGGUUUCGCUUUCCUCCCUCAGACUGCCACACCAAAUCCUGAAGAGGGUGAACUUUGUAUCUAGUGGAAAUGUGGAGAUUCCUACCACGCCAGACCUCAGUCUCCUGGAUACAAAGGAAUCCCAGACCCAAGAUAUGACCCCUGAAGCAUCAGCUACCCCUGAUACCUCUGCAGCGCCAGCUCCUCUGCUGCGCCCCCAGAAGAGAACUACCCCAAAGAAGAAACACCACCCAGGAGGGCAAAGACCUCAUCUUUGAGGAGAUCAAGUCAAGACUUGCCCAGCCCCCUGACCACUGCACAAGAUUUGGGGAAUUCUUGGCCUCUGCCAUGCGCAUAUAGGUUGAACUCGAUGGACAUUUGUCUUUUUUCAACCUCAACAACUAUGUAACUAUGUAACCUGCCACCUGGGCAAGCCAAGCAGAUUGAGCUUCUAAAUUUAAAGAUGAUUAACAAGGCCCGAAAAAUGAAACUCCACGACAAUGUCGUACUGUUCGACCGCCUUCCUCUCACUGCUCCUCCCACCCAACCCCAUCCUAUUCCGCCCACCCAACCCCAUCCUAUUCUGCCCACCCAACAACAGCCUACUCCCUCACCCACCUGCUCCUCAACCAUAUACUCUGCUAUGCUGGAGGCAGAGGAGGACAUUCCCCAGUUUGAAAUUUUAUAGGUAUCUUAUAAUUCCCAAUAAAUAUGGUGCGGUACAGGCUAUAUGGUGUUUUGCGGCAGAUUUUUUGGGGAGGAUACACGCAUGCUGUAGGGGCAUAAUAAUGGGGCCGGGCCCAUUCAUUCUUCACUUUACAGCAUGAUACACGCAUGCUGUAGGGGCAUAAUAAUGGGGCCGGGCCCAUUCAUUCUUCACUUUACAGCAUGUGUGUAUUCUCCCAAUCAAAUCUGUGCCCAAAGCACCAUAUACAGUAGCCCUCCAUUUUAGGAGUGAAAGUACCGCACCAUAUUUAUUGGGAAUUUAAAGUAAAGUAAACUGUUAUUUAAUAAUUUUUUUUAUUUUAGUACAUAUAUAUAUCCAAAUUGUGAUGUCAUGUUUUAUUUUUAUAU
Long non-coding RNA from Pseudophryne corroboree (corroboree frog), 1477 nucleotides. RefSeq lists it as uncharacterized. Lineage: Eukaryota; Metazoa; Chordata; Amphibia; Anura; Myobatrachidae. The transcript has 3 exons. The record is from RefSeq and is a predicted model, not a curated record.